Paramuricea clavata is the source of this 1170-nucleotide non-coding RNA. NCBI's taxonomy places the organism in Eukaryota, Metazoa, Cnidaria, Anthozoa, Malacalcyonacea, Plexauridae. The record is from the annotation of a GenBank genome assembly.
GCACUUCCUUAAUAAAUAGCCUGACACAUAAGUUCAUGCAGACUAAGUUUUGUUCAAUUUCAUUUGUUUUGUAGUCGGUAUCUUCAACUGCUUGGAUUAGUGGUGGGCUUGUCUGAUCAUUUCCUGCAGAUAAAUCAGAUUGGCUAGGGUGAAAUGCAAUCAAAUAGGCAUCAGAAUCUUCAGCACAGGUGCCAAUUGAAAGUGGUGUCAAAAUAUUAUCUACAAAUAAUAUUCAAAAUGCUCUGGUGAACUGGAUGGAACUAGUUGGUUGUCACAAUUCCCCCCCCCUGCUGCUUAAUGAGGCCAAAGAAGUUCUCCAGAGGAUCUUGGUUGAGACAUCUUGUCAUGAGAAACUCCAAGGAAUGAUGUUGGUUUAUAAGGUCUUGAAAUGUAAAUACUACAGUGUAAUUACUACUGACAGUGUAAAUACUACUGACAGUGUAAAUACUACUGACAGUGUAAAUACUACAACAGUGAAAUGUAAAUACAACAGUGUAAUUGGGGUUUAAAAAUACAAAGUUUAUUUUAAUAAAUGUUGUUUAUUUUAUUUCACAUUUAUAUACAUUUAAGAACUUAAAUUAUUCAAAAACUAAAUAAAUUAAAUAUGUGUUCAAUGUCAAUGAAUAUUGCUAUAUUCUAAAUUUUUUAUUCCAAAAUAGGCAAUAACUGUUUCCUUUAUAGUUGACCCCACAUGUUGUCAUGAAAAUUAAUACUAAAUAAAAAAAGUAGCCAAUGAUCCAUGUUUCCUCUUACAGUCUUUGCUUUAUAUGAAAAAUUAAAUACUAUGAAUAAUUGCAUUGUUCCUUUUAUUGAUAAAGAGUUUCCCAUUAAAAGAGAAAGUAUUCCCAAUUAAUACUUUGCCUGUUAAAGUGUGCCCACCCCUUGACGAGUAAAAUCGUCUGGCGUUAGACAGAGUAAAAUAAUAAAGUAGGGUGCAUCAGGGCACAUGCAAUGCAACUCAAUGGGUUAACUGGAUCGCCCGGUGUUAGACAGAAUAAUAAAGUUGGGUUAACAAGUAAAAUUGUCUAGCUUUACAGUACAUCUUCCAAGGGGGGCUGGAUUUGGGGAGCAGGCCUACCACUUUGGGGAGGGCUGCUUUUUUGAACCUCAAUUAAACUAUUACAGUAAUCUGACGGCCUGUCUAUAUGGUCUCCGGGUACUAGGGAAAUC